Molecule: non-coding RNA, 354 nt
Organism: Delphinapterus leucas (beluga whale)
Lineage: Eukaryota; Metazoa; Chordata; Mammalia; Artiodactyla; Monodontidae
Source: RefSeq, a predicted model, not a curated record
ACUCAGAGAAGGGAAGUGACUUAGACCAGAGCCUCUUCAUCUCUUGCGUAUAGAAGUGAAUCACCGGGAGGUCCGGGGGAAGAGCCUGUAUCUCGAAUUCCCAGGAAGUAAAACUGAGGUACCUGGAAGGCUGGGCCAGCCGGUGGUUUGUGGGUCAGCUGAUCUGGCCUGAGCUUGGCUGGGGGCAGCAGCGCAUCAUGUGUCUCCCCUCCUUCUCCUGAGACCCGGCCACCUCCCCCAUCUGGGAUCCCACAGGGCCCGGAGCAGCCUCUGGUGUAGCUCUCGCCAUGCUGUGUUGAAGCCAUCUGCGGAAAGUGCUAGAGGCAGCAUUGGAGCCAGUGAGUUCAGUGCCCU